Molecule: unclassified non-coding RNA, 512 nt
Filed under: Hevea brasiliensis (rubber tree)
Lineage: Eukaryota; Viridiplantae; Streptophyta; Magnoliopsida; Malpighiales; Euphorbiaceae
Source: RNAcentral
AAAUUUUGGGACAAAUUCAAAUAUCGCAGUGCUUCUAGGCUUGUUAUUUGCUUAGGAAUCUCUCCCUCUAGUUUAUUUUUGGAAAUAUCUAUACUUCUCACGAAUCUGAGAAUGCUGGUAUAUCCAUUCAUGCUCCCUUUUGUGACAAUGGAGAUGCUCUCCAAAAAUUCCCAUGUAUCAUAAGAUAUCUCCCCAGGAAGAUACAUGGAAUCAUGCUUAUUAACCAUUGCAUUGAAGUUGUUGAGACACUUGGGUAUGGUACCAGAAAGAUUGUUAUCAGCAAAAUCCAAAAUACAUAAAGAAGUCAUUAAACAUAACUGUUUAGGUAUGCGGCCAUGAAAUUUAUUUGUACGGAGAUUGAGAAUAAUCAUAUUUGAUAGUUUUUCCCCCAUCCAUUUUGGAAUACUUCCUUCUAAUCUAUUUUCACCAAAGUCUAAAAUGGAUAAUCCUGUACAAUUUUGAAGUGACGAUGGAAUUUCGCCCGAGAGGUUGUUGCUGCGAAGAUGCAGUGA